GAUGAACGCUGGCGGUAGGCCUAACACAUGCAAGUCGAACGGACUCUUCGGAGUCAGUGGCGGACGGGUGAGUAACGCGUGAGAAUCUGCCUUCAGGACGGGGAUAACAGCGGGAAACUGCUGCUAAUACCCGAUGUGCCGGAAGGUGAAAGAAAUUCGCUUGAAGAGGAGCUCGCGUCUGAUUAGCUAGUUGGUAGGGUAAGAGCCUACCAAGGCAUCGAUCAGUAGCUGGUCUGAGAGGAUGAGCAGCCACACUGGGACUGAGACACGGCCCAGACUCNUACGGGAGGCAGCAGUGGGGAAUUUUCCGCAAUGGGCGAAAGCCUGACGGAGCCAUACCGCGUGAGGGAAGAAGGCUCUUGGGUUGUAAACCUCUUUUCUCAGGGAAGAAGAAAGUGACGGUACCUGAGGAAUCAGCAUCGGCUAACUCCGUGCCAGCAGCCGCGAUAAUACGGAGGAUGCAAGCGUUAUCCGGAAUUAUUGGGCGUAAAGCGUCCGCAGGUGGCGACUCAAGUCUGCUGUCAAAGCCCAGGGCUUAACCCUGGAUCGGCAGUGGAAACUGAGUCGCUAGAGUACGGUAGGGGUAGAGGGAAUUCCCAGUGUAGCGGUGAAAUGCGUAGAGAUUGGGAAGAACACCAGUGGCGAAAGCGCUCUACUGGACCGUAACUGACACUCACAGGACGAAAGCUAGGGUAGCGAAUGGGAUUAGAUACCCCAGUAGUCUUAGCUGUAAACGAUGGAUACUAGGCGUGGCUUGUAUCGACCCGAGCCGUGCCGAAGCUAACGCGUUAAGUAUCCCGCCUGGGA
RNAcentral lists this ribosomal RNA (807 nucleotides) under uncultured bacterium. RNAcentral describes it as "bacterial SSU rRNA". It matches the Rfam family "Bacterial small subunit ribosomal RNA", at positions 28 to 878 of the family's 1533-position model. The record is from RNAcentral.